GACGAACGCUGGCGGCGUGCUUAACACAUGCACGUCGAACGGUGAAGCGCCUUCCUUUUUGGUGGGUGUGGUUGAGUGGCGAACGGGUGAGUAACACGUGAGUAACCUGCCCCCUUCUGCUGGAUAACCGCAUGAAAGUGUGGUUAAUACGGGAUAUUCUGGGUUUGUCGCAUGAUUGGUCUGGGAAAGCUUUUGUUUCCGCGGGGGAUGGGAUCGCGGCCCACCAGCUUGUUGGUGGGGUAAUGGCCUACCAAGGCGGUGACGGGUAGCCGGCCCGGGAGGGUGAACGGUGACACUGGGGAUGAGAGACGAACAGGACUGCUACGGGGGGCAGCAGUAGGGAAUAUUGAACAAUGGGGGGAAGCCUGAUGCAGCGACGCCGCGUGAGGGAUGGAGGCCUUCGGGUUGUGAACCUCUUUCGCCAGUGAAGCAGGCCUGCCUCGUUUGUGGGUGGGUUGACGGUAGCUGGAUAAGAAGCGCCGGCUAACUACGUG
RNAcentral lists this ribosomal RNA (494 nucleotides) under uncultured bacterium. Its description in RNAcentral is "partial 16S ribosomal RNA". It matches the Rfam family "Bacterial small subunit ribosomal RNA", at positions 28 to 507 of the family's 1533-position model. The record is from RNAcentral.